Molecule: ribosomal RNA, 250 nt
Filed under: uncultured Aquabacterium sp.
Lineage: Bacteria; Pseudomonadati; Pseudomonadota; Betaproteobacteria; Burkholderiales; Sphaerotilaceae
Description: partial 16S ribosomal RNA
Rfam family: Bacterial small subunit ribosomal RNA
Source: RNAcentral
UACGUAGGGUGCGAGCGUUAAUCGGAAUUACUGGGCGUAAAGCGUGCGCAGGCGGCUUUGCAAGACAGAUGUGAAAUCACCGGGCUCAACCUGGGAACUGCAUUUGUGACUGCAAGGCUAGAGUGCGGCAGAGGGAGAUGGAAUUCCGCGUGUAGCAGUGAAAUGCGUAGAUAUGCGGAGGAACACCGAUGGCGAAGGCAAUCUCCUGGGCCUGCACUGACGCUCAUGCACGAAAGCGUGGGGAGCAAAC